Molecule: ribosomal RNA, 1080 nt
Filed under: Enterococcus faecium
Lineage: Bacteria; Bacillati; Bacillota; Bacilli; Lactobacillales; Enterococcaceae
Description: bacterial SSU rRNA
Rfam family: Bacterial small subunit ribosomal RNA
Source: RNAcentral
GGUGCUAAUACCGUAUAACAAUCAAAACCGCAUGGUUUUGAUUUGAAAGGCGCUUUCGGGUGUCGCUGAUGGAUGGACCCGCGGUGCAUUAGCUAGUUGGUGAGGUAACGGCUCACCAAGGCCACGAUGCAUAGCCGACCUGAGAGGGUGAUCGGCCACAUUGGGACUGAGACACGGCCCAAACUCCUACGGGAGGCAGCAGUAGGGAAUCUUCGGCAAUGGACGAAAGUCUGACCGAGCAACGCCGCGUGAGUGAAGAAGGUUUUCGGAUCGUAAAACUCUGUUGUUAGAGAAGAACAAGGAUGAGAGUAACUGUUCAUCCCUUGACGGUAUCUAACCAGAAAGCCACGGCUAACUACGUGCCAGCAGCCGCGGUAAUACGUAGGUGGCAAGCGUUGUCCGGAUUUAUUGGGCGUAAAGCGAGCGCAGGCGGUUUCUUAAGUCUGAUGUGAAAGCCCCCGGCUCAACCGGGGAGGGUCAUUGGAAACUGGGAGACUUGAGUGCAGAAGAGGAGAGUGGAAUUCCAUGUGUAGCGGUGAAAUGCGUAGAUAUAUGGAGGAACACCAGUGGCGAAGGCGGCUCUCUGGUCUGUAACUGACGCUGAGGCUCGAAAGCGUGGGGAGCAAACAGGAUUAGAUACCCUGGUAGUCCACGCCGUAAACGAUGAGUGCUAAGUGUUGGAGGGUUUCCGCCCUUCAGUGCUGCAGCUAACGCAUUAAGCACUCCGCCUGGGGAGUACGACCGCAAGGUUGAAACUCAAAGGAAUUGACGGGGGCCCGCACAAGCGGUGGAGCAUGUGGUUUAAUUCGAAGCAACGCGAAGAACCUUACCAGGUCUUGACAUCCUUUGACCACUCUAGAGAUAGAGCUUCCCCUUCGGGGGCAAAGUGACAGGUGGUGCAUGGUUGUCGUCAGCUCGUGUCGUGAGAUGUUGGGUUAAGUCCCGCAACGAGCGCAACCCUUAUUGUUAGUUGCCAUCAUUCAGUUGGGCACUCUAGCAAGACUGCCGGUGACAAACCGGAGGAAGGUGGGGAUGACGUCAAAUCAUCAUGCCCCUUAUGACCUGGGCUACACACGUGCU